UCUCUCUCUUAAUUUUCGGUUCAUACCCCCCCUCUCUCCACAACUGAAUUCCAUCACUACCAUACAUCAAACCUCCAUUUCUUCUCCAUCAAGCUCACAUUCAAGUGGUAAAGAUCCUCCAUAGAAGUGAGAAGUUGGAGUGCUCUCAAGAAGCCUUGUUCAAGCUUUUCUCACCAUCAUUCUUUAUCAUCUCAUCCUAAGAUUACAACCCUAGCCUUGUGCUAGUAUCGAGAAAAUGAUUUUCUAUAAAAUAUGGGUAGUCGUGUUUGCUGAGGAGAUUUGGGUUACGAGUACCGAAGACGCAAUACUGUGA
RNAcentral lists this long non-coding RNA (313 nucleotides) under Helianthus annuus (common sunflower). RNAcentral describes it as "hypothetical non coding rna". Lineage: Eukaryota; Viridiplantae; Streptophyta; Magnoliopsida; Asterales; Asteraceae. The record is from RNAcentral.